Molecule: long non-coding RNA, 382 nt
Filed under: Carica papaya (papaya)
Lineage: Eukaryota; Viridiplantae; Streptophyta; Magnoliopsida; Brassicales; Caricaceae
Description: long non-coding RNA (CPAP_LNC000740)
Source: RNAcentral
CAAUAGUAAUAGCAGUAUUAGUAGUAGUAGUAGUAGUUAUAGUAGUAGUAGUGGUAGUAGUAAUAAUAGAAGUAGCAGUAAUAAUAACAGUAGUAGUAAUAGCAGUUGUAGUAAUAGUAGCAGUAAUAGAAGUAACAGUAGCAGUAGUAGUAGCAGUAGUAUUAGUAGUAGCAGUAGUAGUACUACUACUACCUACAUAUACUAUGUACUUGAAGGCUUUAAACAUCAAUUAUAAAUCAAAACUUAAGUUUUACAAUUAAUCUGUAUUACUUCUUCCUCUCAUACUUCAAUAAAUUAUUAUAUUCAGCUAGCCUAUCUUUUGGUUUUUUCUAAAAAAAUAAAUUAGUUGAUCAUUUUGCCAUUUGUAGGUUGAUUUGUACAU